Molecule: ribosomal RNA, 253 nt
Filed under: uncultured bacterium
Lineage: Bacteria
Description: partial 16S ribosomal RNA
Rfam family: Bacterial small subunit ribosomal RNA
Source: RNAcentral
UACAGAGGUCCCAAGCGUUGUUCGGAUUCACUGGGCGUAAAGGGUGCGCAGGUGGUCGGGUAAGUCUGACGUGAAAUCCCGCAGCUUAACUGCGGAAUGGCAUUGGAUACUAUUCGGCUAGAGGGUUGGAGGGGGGACUGGAAUUCUCGGUGUAGCAGUGAAAUGCGUAGAUAUGCGGAGGAACACCGAUGGCGAAGGCAAUCCCCUGGGCCUGCACUGACGCUCAUGCACGAAAGCGUGGGGAGCAAGCAGG